CGUUCCCGGGCCUUGUACACACCGCCCGUCACAUCACUAAAGUCGGUAACACCCGAAGCCGGUGGCCCAACCCUUGUGGAGGGAGCCGUCGAAGGUGGGACUGGCGAUUGGGACU
RNAcentral lists this ribosomal RNA (115 nucleotides) under uncultured bacterium. RNAcentral's name for it is "partial 16S ribosomal RNA". It matches the Rfam family "Bacterial small subunit ribosomal RNA", at positions 1369 to 1482 of the family's 1533-position model. The record is from RNAcentral.